UACGUAGGUGGCAAGCGUUGUCCGGAUUUACUGGGUGUAAAGGGCGUGUAGGCGGGCUGUCAAGUCAGAUGUGAAAUCUAUGGGCUCAACCCAUAACGUGCAUUUGAAACUGACGGUCUUGAGUGAUGGAGAGGCAGGCGGAAUUCCUAGUGUAGCGGUGAAAUGCGUAGAUAUUAGGAGGAACACCAGUGGCGAAGGCGGCCUGCUGGACAUUAACUGACGCUGAGGCGCGAAAGCGUGGGGAG
Molecule: ribosomal RNA, 245 nt
Filed under: uncultured Oscillospiraceae bacterium
Lineage: Bacteria; Bacillati; Bacillota; Clostridia; Eubacteriales; Oscillospiraceae
Description: partial 16S ribosomal RNA
Rfam family: Bacterial small subunit ribosomal RNA
Source: RNAcentral